UCUUAGCAGACAGCUGUGGCACGUUCUGGAGUCAGCUGCAUGCCACGUGGCUGGUGGUCACCAUCCUAGGAUCAGCCCUCAGGAAAAGGACCCUGGAGCUGGGUUUUGGUCCUGUGUUCAAGCUGGACCAGAGGAGGGAGAGCUGCAGCCACCUGAUGGCCUGUGUGUAGAUGGUGGCAGUGGAGUCCCUUGAAAGGGAAGGCCAUCCCAAAAACCACUGCAGCUGGGUUCCCCAUCAUUGUUGUGGUGCAGAGGGAAGGCUGUGAUGUCCAUGUGGUUCCACAGCAGACAUGGUGCACGCUGAGAGCUGUGGCUACUGUGACUACACCAGCUCCAAGCAAGUAUUUCCAGCUGGUGCUGCCCUGCCAGCCUGGGAUCCCGACCAAGCCCCAGGUCUUUGCCCCAGCAUUGCUUGUCUUCUUGUUCAGUGCUUCAGCUGCAGUGCCUCUGCCAUUCCCUGCUGUUGUCCUGGUACGAGAAGGAAGGAAGCUGGAGGAGCCAGCCCAGCCAGGUUUUAGGACCAAGCUCUCUGGAUACAGCUGGUAUUUGGUGGUGAUCUCUUGGAAGAUGGAAGAUCUCAGCAGAAAGCUUCCUCACAGGUUUGUAUUCAGCCUAAACGUGGGCACAGGAGCCUUCCUGCCUCCUUGUGCAGUCAUUGGAGAUUUGCUGCUCCCCCAGGAGGUGUCCUGCCUGCUCCUGGCCGCCCCUUCCCACAUCGACGCUCAAGGGUUUGUGCAACCAUGUGGGGAAUUGGGUCAGGGACAUGAUCCAAUUAAAAGCUGUGCUGAGUGACUUCGAAAGCAGGUUUUAACCAGACAGUUUCCUGACAGUCCACAAAUGCCUGUUGUUAGGAAAAGAGGGCUUUGGACCACAGCAGGAAUAAACAGCCAUGGGUGGAUUGUGGUGGGAUGGUUUCUUCUGCUGGUGGAGCUGGUCCAUGAAGGCUUGCUCUGUUGGUAGGCAGCUGUAGGGACAACAAACCUGACUCCCACUUGGAUUCUGGCUGGUGAGUCUUUGUUUUCUUCCCAGGGAGCCCAGUCUCACUCCCUUGUCUGUUUCAUGGCUGCCAUCACUCAUGGAGAGCCUCUCAUCAGAUGUUUCUCAGCCUCCUUCUCUUCAAGAGUGCAGCCAAGGGCUGUGGUCACAGGGGAAGACUGGAAUUGCACUGCACCCAUGCCCAUCCUCACUGCCUGGGGCGAAGGGGGGUUGCCUUCAGUAAUCCUGACUAAUCCUUUAAUCUGUAUCAACACUGAUAGGUAUUAAAGCAGCAGAUAAGGUUCAGACCAUGGCUUGGAGCUCAGCGAUAUCCCCACCCUCUUCCAGCUAAAUCUGGGCUGAUUGUGCUUUCUCUUAAGGGGACCGUGCUUGUUUGCUGAGCAGCUGCACUGGGUUGAGAGGGUGGAUUAGCUGUUCACAGCUGGAACAUGCCCCUGUUGCUGGGCUCCAGCUUGCCAGACAAGUCCAUUGAUCUGUCUUUGUGUGUUCCUGGUAACCAGCAUCCCGUGCUUCCUGGAGCAAACCUCUCCAGGUUCGUGUUCCUCUGGCAGUCAGCAGCAGAUCUGUAGCCUCCUGCUUUUUAUCUGUGUUAUUCACCUGGAUAUAAGCCCAAUUCAGUUGUAGACACUUCACAGAGUUCUUAAGCAAGAGCACAAAGCUUUCCAGUGCUGUGGAUCUGUGGCUCCUUGCUGCCUGCUGCUCACAGCAGGAUUUCCCUCCUCUCCCAUCUCCAGAGCAGGACUCCCACCACCACAUCCUUCCCCUCCAGGCCUUCUGCACUCUGUUCUUUUUGGGUGCCUUUCCUCCUGGCUGAGGUCUGCGAUGCUCUCACUUGUAUGGCUUCUGGGCACCUCCAGUUACCCCAAUGAUCCAGCACUGUGCAGGUGGGACUCCAGAGCUGGCUGUCCCAUGUUUGGUGGGCACCAAACCAAGGUUGUUAAUGCUGGGAAGAGCCACUCCUGGUCGAGUUCACUGUGCAAAACAAACUGUCCCUGUUGUUUUUGCUGUUGUAGGCUCAUCCGCCCUUUCCCUGUCCUCUUCCAGCUUCUCCCCAUGCCUGUGGGAUUGCUCCGAGUUUGCCACUGGUUCCCUCAUCAGCAAAGCCAUGGUUAAUCCUUCCCAUAAAUCCUUUAAGCUGUCAGCAAACAACCCCCUUCUUAAAAUUCUAGCACGCAAGCUCGGCUGGGACGGAGCCUGGCUCACAACCCCAAAGUUUCAUUUUUGUUCCCAGAUUAUCACCUCUGGUCCUUCCUGUUUCCAGUUUUGGCUGGCGCUGCAGGCUUCUCACCGUGGCUGUGGAGCAAUGGAUGGCUCAUGCAUGUGUGUGGCCUUCCAUUAUAUAUCUGACGUGUAAAAAUAUUCAGGUUCUGGAUUACCUAAUGGGGGGUUCCAGGUGUGUCAGGUGGUUUGAAGUCACAGAUGAGAAUAUGUUCCUUAGAUUGCAUGUGGAUGAAGUCUCACCUCUCUGAGGAGCCACCUGUCCUGUGGGACAGAGUGUUG
Long non-coding RNA from Passer domesticus (house sparrow), 2496 nucleotides. RefSeq lists it as uncharacterized. The record is from RefSeq and is a predicted model, not a curated record. NCBI's taxonomy places the organism in Eukaryota, Metazoa, Chordata, Aves, Passeriformes, Passeridae. The transcript is spliced from 3 exons.